RNAcentral lists this ribosomal RNA (435 nucleotides) under uncultured bacterium. RNAcentral describes it as "bacterial SSU rRNA". It matches the Rfam family "Bacterial small subunit ribosomal RNA", at positions 355 to 787 of the family's 1533-position model. The record is from RNAcentral.
UGAGGAAUAUUGGUCAAUGGGCGAGAGCCUGAACCAGCCAAGUCGCGUGAGGGAAUAAGGCCCUACGGGUCGUAAACCUCUUUUGCCGGGGAGCAAGUCGGGGCUCGUGAGCCCUGAUGGAGAGUACCCGGAGAAAAAGCAUCGGCUAACUCCGUGCCAGCAGCCGCGGUAAUACGGAGGAUGCGAGCGUUAUCCAGAUUUAUUGGGUUUAAAGGGUGCGUAGGCGGGCUGGCAAGUCGGCGGUCAAAUGUCGGGGCUCAACCCCGGCCUGCCGUCGAAACUGCCGGUCUUGAGUGAGCGAGAAGCAGGCGGAAUGCGUGGUGUAGCGGUGAAAUGCAUAGAUAUCACGCAGAACCCCGAUUGCGAAGGCAGCCUGCCGGCGCUCAACUGACGCUGAGGCACGAAAGUGCGGGGAUCGAACAGGAUUAGAUAGCC